RNAcentral lists this ribosomal RNA (586 nucleotides) under Shewanella baltica. RNAcentral describes it as "bacterial SSU rRNA". It matches the Rfam family "Bacterial small subunit ribosomal RNA", at positions 44 to 618 of the family's 1533-position model. The record is from RNAcentral. Lineage: Bacteria; Pseudomonadati; Pseudomonadota; Gammaproteobacteria; Alteromonadales; Shewanellaceae.
CGGCCUAAACAUGCAAGUCGAGCGGCAGCGGGAAGAUAGCUUGCUAUCUUUGCCGGCGAGCGGCGGACGGGUGAGUAAUGCCUAGGGAUCUGCCCAGUCGAGGGGGAUAACAGUUGGAAACGACUGCUAAUACCGCAUACGCCCUACGGGGGAAAGGAGGGGACCUUCGGGCCUUCCGCGAUUGGAUGAACCUAGGUGGGAUUAGCUAGUUGGUGAGGUAAUGGCUCACCAAGGCGACGAUCCCUAUCUGUUCUGAGAGGAUGAUCACCCACACUGGGACUGACACACGGCCCAGACUCCUACGGGAGGCAGCAGUGGGGAAUAUUGCACAAUGGGGGAAACCCUGAUGCAGCCAUGCCGCGUGUGUGAAGAAGGCCUUCGGUUUGUAAAGCACUUUCAGUAGGGAGGAAAGGUAGCAGCUUAAUACGCUGUUGCUGUGACGUUACCUACAAAAGAAAGACCGGCUAACUCCGUGCCAGCAGCCGCGGUAAUACGGAGGGUCCGAGCGUUAAUCAAAAUUACUGGGCGUAAAGCGUGCGCAGGCGGUUUGUUAACGAGAUUUUAAAAUCCCCAGGCUCACCCCGGG